RNAcentral lists this ribosomal RNA (468 nucleotides) under uncultured bacterium. RNAcentral describes it as "partial 16S ribosomal RNA". It matches the Rfam family "Bacterial small subunit ribosomal RNA", at positions 28 to 507 of the family's 1533-position model. The record is from RNAcentral.
GACGAACGCUGGCGGCGUGCUUAACACAUGCAAGUCGAACGGAAAGGCCCUGCUUUUGUGGGGUGCUCGAGUGGCGAACGGGUGAGUAACACGUGAGUAACCUGCCCUUGACUUUGGGAUAACUUCAGGAAACUGGGGCUAAUACCGGAUAGGAGCACCUGCUGCAUGGUGGGGGUUGGAAAGUUUCGGCGGUUGGGGAUGGACUCGCGGCUUAUCAGCUUGUUGGUGGGGUAGUGGCUUACCAAGGCUUUGACGGGUAGCCGGCCUGAGAGGGUGACCGGCCACAUUGGGACUGAGAUACGGCCCAGCCUCCUCCGGGAGGCAGCAGUGGGGAAUAUUGAACAAUGGGCGGAAGCCUGAUGCAGCAACGCGGCGUGCGGGAUGACGGCCUUCGGGUUGUAAACCGCUUUAGCAUGUGACGAAGCGUGAGUGACGGUAAUGGGUAAAGAAGCACCGGCUAACUACGUG